Molecule: long non-coding RNA, 752 nt
Organism: Gorilla gorilla gorilla (western lowland gorilla)
Lineage: Eukaryota; Metazoa; Chordata; Mammalia; Primates; Hominidae
Exons: 3
Source: RefSeq, a predicted model, not a curated record
GCUACCAAAUAAAGAUGAUUGAGUGAAUGGCUAAAGAAAUAAAUAUGUUCGAAUCUGUACUCAUCUCAUGUCUUUCCUGAUGUGGGUGUCCACUUCCAAGGAAAUGAUGAUUGAAAUGUUAGAAAUGCAAAAUUAAUUAACACCUUGUACAGUUCAUUUGGCUCCCGCAGACUCAGUAAUGGCUUUAUUUGUAUAUAACUGUGUCUGAUACCUAUUUUUGACAAGUUUGGACAAAAUAUCUGCUCGACACUAUUUCUGGAUUUCUGAUGCUGCUGAGAAUAGCUGCAAGGAUAAGAGGAUUGCCUCCUUUACUGUAUGUUUUCCACUGAGAUGAAGAUUUUGGUCAUUUCCUCAUUCAUGUUCCUGCUUUUCAAAACCCAAGCAAGAAAGGAAACUUCUACAGUGACUUUCUCAUUAUGAAAUCUUAGCAUUCACUAGUCGGCCAUAAUGGAAAACCAGCCAAAUGGACACAUAUACACUGGUCUGUACCCGCAGAGAAAGAACUGCAAAUCUCUGUGAUCAGAAAACUAUCCUAUCUUGUACAUUGUUAAAAGUCUGCCCCCAAAAAGUUUACUUCUGGAAUACUGUAAUUGAAUAGAAUCAGGGAUCCUACCUGUGUCCUUCAACUUUCAUAUCUUGUCUACUGAAGUAAGGGUUGAAUUUGCAUGACUAUAUCUAAGGUUCAAGGGCUUACCUGUUGGGAGUAGACCCAGUAGUCUAUGAAUGGAAAUGGGCAAACCUGUGACCUCCCA